GACGAACGCUGGCGGCGUGCUUAACACAUGCGAGUCGAACGGAAAGGCCCUGCUUUUGUGGGGUGCUCGAGUGGCGAACGGGUGAGUAACACGUGUGUAACCUGCCCUUGACUUUGGGAGAAAUUCAGGAAACUGGGGCUCAUACCGGGUAGGAGCUCCUGCUGCAUGGUGGGGGUUGGUAAGAUUCGGCGGUUGGGGAUGGAAUCGCGGCUUAUCAGCUUGUUGGUGGGGUAGUGGAUUACCAAGGCUUUGACGGGUAGCCGGCCUGAGAGGGUGACCGGCCACAUUGGGACUGCGAGACGGCCCAGACUCCUACGGGACGCAGUAGUGGGGAAUAUUGCGCAAUGGGGGGAAGCCUGAUGCAGCAACGCCGCGUGCGGGAUGACGUCCUUUGGGUUAUAAACCGAUUUCGCCUGUGACGAGGCGUGAGUGACGGUAAUGAGUAAAGAAGCACCGGCUAACUACGUG
This 468-nucleotide ribosomal RNA is filed under the name uncultured bacterium. RNAcentral's name for it is "partial 16S ribosomal RNA". It matches the Rfam family "Bacterial small subunit ribosomal RNA", at positions 28 to 507 of the family's 1533-position model. The record is from RNAcentral.